RNAcentral lists this ribosomal RNA (253 nucleotides) under uncultured bacterium. RNAcentral's name for it is "partial 16S ribosomal RNA". It matches the Rfam family "Bacterial small subunit ribosomal RNA", at positions 796 to 1047 of the family's 1533-position model. The record is from RNAcentral.
CACGCCGUAAACGAUGAGUGCUAGGUGUUGGAGGGGCCACCCUUCAGUGCUGACGUUAACACAUUAAGCACUCCGCCUGGGGAGUACGGCCGCAAGGCUGAAACUCAAAGGAAUUGACGGGGGCCUGCACAAGCAGUGGAGCAUGUGGUUUAAUUCGAAGCAACGCGAAGAACCUUACCAGGUCUUGACAUCCUCUGACAACCCUAGAGAUAGGGCUUUCCCCUUCGGGGGACAGAGUGACAGGUGGUGCAUG